AAUGAACGUUGGCGGCGUGGAUUAGGCAUGCAAGUCGAGCGGAAAGGCCCGCAAGGGCACUCGAGCGGCGUAAGGGACAGUAAUGUGUAGGUACGUACCCCUGGGUCUAGGAUAGCUGCGGGAAACUGCAAUUAAUACUAGAUGAUGUCUCCGGACCAAAGGUGUGAUUCCACCCAGGGAGCGGCCUACAUCCUAUUAGCUAGUUGGUGAGGUGACGGCUCACCAAGGCGAAGAUGGGUAGCAGGUGUGAGAGCACGACCUGCGUCACUGGGACUGAGACACUGCCCAGACACCUACGGGUGGCUGCAGUCGAGAAUCUUCGGCAAUGGGCGAAAGUCUGACCGAGCGACG
This 351-nucleotide ribosomal RNA is filed under the name uncultured bacterium. RNAcentral's name for it is "bacterial SSU rRNA". It matches the Rfam family "Bacterial small subunit ribosomal RNA", at positions 29 to 396 of the family's 1533-position model. The record is from RNAcentral.